UCUACGGGUGGCAGCAGUCGGGAAUAUUUCGCAAUGGAGGAAACUCUGACGCAGUGACGCCGCGUGCAGGAAGAAGGUUUUCGGAUUGUAAACUGCUUUAGACAGGGAAGAAAAAAGACAGUACCUGUAGAAUAAGCUCCGGCUAACUACGUGCCAGAAGCCGCGGUAAGACGGAGGGAGCAAGCGUUAUACGGAUUGAUUGGGUGUAAAGGGUGGGUAGACGGAGAAGCAAGUUAGUUGUGAACUCCCUGGGCUUAACUGAGGAACUGCAACUAAAACUACUUCCAUGGAGUACUGGAGAGGAAAGUGGAAUUCCUAGUGUAGCGGUGAAAUGCGUAGAUAUUAGGAGGAACACCAGUGGCGAAGGCGACUUUCUGGACAGCAACUGACGUUGAGGCACGAAAGUGUGGGGAGCAAACAGGAGUAGAUACCCCUGUAGUC
Molecule: ribosomal RNA, 441 nt
Filed under: uncultured bacterium
Lineage: Bacteria
Description: partial 16S ribosomal RNA
Rfam family: Bacterial small subunit ribosomal RNA
Source: RNAcentral